This 1356-nucleotide long non-coding RNA is filed under the name Bos indicus x Bos taurus (hybrid cattle). Its description in RNAcentral is "lncRNA (ENSBIXG00000012486.1)". The record is from RNAcentral. Lineage: Eukaryota; Metazoa; Chordata; Mammalia; Artiodactyla; Bovidae.
AUGUCCGAGAGGCUCCUCGCCCUGAGGCCUGGGCUGGGGUGGCUGGCCCCCAGGCCCCCCACACACACCCCGGGGCAGGCUGGGCUUUCCCGCGGCCGAGCAGUCUCAGGGCUCUCGGGGUCUGCGCCCAGCCCCAGCCCAGCCUGCCUGUCGUCCCCGUGCAGGAACAAGACGUGGGCGGGAAGCUGCAGGGUGCGUGGCCCUCCUGUUCCUGUUGGACACUGGGCCUCGCCCUCCUCCUCCUCCCAGGCUGCACCCCAUCCCGGAGCCUCCCGGGAGGCCUGGAGGGCUGGAGGGUGGGGGCGCUGGUGGACACUCUCCCCCAUCUGCUGCACUCAGGGAGGCCUCUUCUCUGCAAGCCCCCUGCUUUCCUUGGGGGGGGGGUUGACCCUGAGAUGCUGGGCCGAGGUGUCCGCUGCCCCUGUGGCCAGGUUCACCUGCUGGACAACCCCUGGUUGUCAGAUGGGAGGCGGGGGCGCAUCAGGAGGCAGGGUGGAAGCCUGGGCUCCCCACCCGCUUGAGAAAGGAUUUCCCUGUCCAAGGUCUGUCCCCGCCCCCCCGGGAGGUCUCCUGAGCCAGGAGGGCACCUCUCGUGGGUGGGGCUCCCAGCGAGGGGGCGUGUGUCUCCAGGGGCGCCCGUCACACCCACACUGGGGCCUUCUGGGCCGUGCGCCCAGCCAUCAGCUCCCCGAAAGCCCCAGCCCCGAGUGGCUGGAACGUUCCAGAGCGGCCGGCCUCACUUCAGCCUCCGUGAGCCUGGCCCAGGGCCGGGGCUGCCAGACCAGCCUGUGGUCUGCGUCCCUGAGCCACAGAGGAUCCCAGCCCUUCCCCGGGCAGGCAGGGUCACCAACGCUGAGGGAAGGGCUGUCCUCCCGCAGCUCCCAACGUCGCAGGCGUCCUUCACACCCCCGCCCCACCCGAGGACGCUGCGAGCCUUCUGGUUGGCUGUAUGCGGAGACCCCGCCGUCGGGGUCAGCCAGGUUCCGGACCUCUUCAGGGAGCCGGCGGGUCUGCCCGUGAGGACUGCCCCGCCCGGCGCACAGCGGCUCCUCUCGGCCAAAUGUAUUUAUUCCCACCACACAGUCUCGAGCUUUUCUGGUUCCUCAGAGGCCGGAGUCCAGCAGGGAGGGCAGCCCCCCGAGGACAGAGUGCCCGGCACCUCCCUGCCGGCCUGGGCACGAGCAGCUGCGCGUGGCGGGCCGCCGCCGCCCCCCUCCCCAUGCCCCGCGAACCCUGACCUGCCCAGGGCUCCCAUCCCGCCGGGCACGCGGUCUCCGCCCGUCCCAGGCUGCCGCUCUGCAGUCAAACUGCAACAUGAAAAGAAUAAACACCUCACCUGUCGUUUGUAAGAGUCCA